This is a non-coding RNA of Pelobates cultripes (western spadefoot toad), 225 nucleotides long. NCBI's taxonomy places the organism in Eukaryota, Metazoa, Chordata, Amphibia, Anura, Pelobatidae. The record is from the annotation of a GenBank genome assembly.
UGUAUAAUAUGUCCAGCUUAGGAAAAGUAAUUCAAAAUAAAUUCAUUUAGGUUUCUUGUUUUUCAAAGUUCAUAAUAUGUAAAGGAUUUCAGCUUAUUUUAAAAGUUACAGGUCACAAAAUACAAGGAGUAAUAUAAAAUUUAAAUGUGAAAAAAAUGUAGAAGUUGGUAUGUUUGACAGCUGUCACAGAAAACAAAAUUGCUACACAAAAGUAUAUAUUUAAAU